This 253-nucleotide ribosomal RNA is filed under the name uncultured bacterium. RNAcentral describes it as "partial 16S ribosomal RNA". It matches the Rfam family "Bacterial small subunit ribosomal RNA", at positions 524 to 776 of the family's 1533-position model. The record is from RNAcentral.
GACAGAGGGUGCAAACGUUGUUCGGAAUUACUGGGCGUAAAGGGCGCGUAGGCGGCCUGCUAAGUCGAACGUGAAAUCCCUGGGCUUAACCCAGGAACUGCGUCCGAUACUGGCAGGCUUGAAUCCGGGAGAGGGAUGCGGAAUUCCAGGUGUAGCGGUGAAAUGCGUAGAUAUCUGGAGGAACACCGGUGGCGAAGGCGGCAUCCUGGACCGGCAUUGACGCUGAGGCGCGAAAGCCAGGGGAGCAAACGGG